Molecule: long non-coding RNA, 435 nt
Organism: Sorghum bicolor (sorghum)
Lineage: Eukaryota; Viridiplantae; Streptophyta; Magnoliopsida; Poales; Poaceae
Exons: 2
Source: RefSeq, a predicted model, not a curated record
AAAAAGGGUUCCCCACGCUUUGCAUCUCCAUAUAUAUACAUCUGCAAAGAAGAGAUAAAAUGGAUGAGAAACUAUAUGUCAUAUAUACAUAUGCAAGGAGAAAGAGAGAAAGAGAGAGGAGCUCCCUUCAAUCCAAGCACGAGGGAAAGAUGAUGGUGGGUUCAUCUCCCGGGUCAUGCACACCCAUGCAAGUGCAGCUAGGAGCACAUGAGCUAGCUAUGGAGUUGUGAUGAGGAGUACAACGAUGGCCGGGUUGGUGGCCUUAUAUAGAGCUCAUGAGCCAAUCUGAGCCGUUGGUUCAUCAUCACAUUCGUGGCCCCCUCCAUCUCAUAUGUGGACAGAGAAAACAUGCAUGCCUUGCCUUGAUUUGGUUUAGUUUGGCUAUUGUGAGGUUAGCAUGCAUGGAAACUGACGCAACAACUCUCUUUAUUCCUU